RNAcentral lists this ribosomal RNA (451 nucleotides) under Edovum puttleri. RNAcentral describes it as "eukaryotic LSU rRNA". Lineage: Eukaryota; Metazoa; Arthropoda; Insecta; Hymenoptera; Eulophidae. The record is from RNAcentral.
CCUGAGAAACCCAAAAGAUCGAAUGGGGAGAUUCAGCGUCAGCGUGGCUGGCUUCCGUGCGGCUCGCGAUGGCCGGGACCUCGGUCUCGCGUCACGCGUCCGCUGCGGUAUGUCCGGUCACGUCGGCGUGCACUUCUCCCCUAGUAGGACGUCGCGACCCGUUGGGUGUCGGACCGAUGGCCGUUCGGUCGUCUGUCUCGUCGCGUUCACGCGUGCACGUGGCAGACCGCAAUGGUCGAGCGUCCGGCUGCCCGGCGGUAUAGAACGCUAUUGAACGGUAAUGAGCCGCAUUAAGUGCGUUCAGGCUCGUCGGCAGGCUCGUCUCGCCCGGAUUUACGGACCUAGUGCCGUUGCCGGGUGCUUGGUGGGCCGUUAGUCGAUGAUGUCCUCGGACUGGCUCUACAAUUCGAAAGGAUUACCGGUCGGCGACGCUACUGCUUUGGGUACUUUC